Molecule: unclassified non-coding RNA, 425 nt
Filed under: Hevea brasiliensis (rubber tree)
Lineage: Eukaryota; Viridiplantae; Streptophyta; Magnoliopsida; Malpighiales; Euphorbiaceae
Source: RNAcentral
GAAUGGCAAACCAAGGAUCCGAAGUUAAUCCCAUAUCAGAAGUACCUACUGAAAUUGAUCAAGAAAUUUGAAGAAAUUUCUUUCACUCACCUCAGUCGGGACAAAAAUCAAUUCGCGGAUGCCUUAGCCACCCUGGCUGUCAUGGCUCAAAUGGAAGAGGGGCAGACGACUCAGGUAUUGAGGAUCAAAGCAAGGGGUGAGCCAGCUUACUGUUUCAUGGCCAAGGAAGAAAUUGAUGGCAAACCCUAGUACCAUGAUAUCCAGCUCUACAUCAAAACCAAGGAAUACCCUCCAGGGGCAAGAAGAAACGAAAAGAGAAUGAUCAGGAGAUUAGCUUUGGGAUACUUCCCCAGUGGUGAAAUUCUGUGCAAAAGGAGCUCCAAUGGCGAACUGUUGAGAUGCGUGGAUGCGAAAGAAGCAAGGAA